Molecule: non-coding RNA, 209 nt
Filed under: Aurantiochytrium limacinum
Lineage: Eukaryota; Bigyra; Thraustochytrida; Thraustochytriidae
Source: RNAcentral
UAAAGAAAGAAAAAAGAAAGAGAAAGCAAGAGUUAAAAUUGCGAACAAGAGAAAGAGAUUUUUCGAAGAAUAUAAUCUUUAUUUUUUUUCGUCGUCGUUUCUCAUUCCUGUUCUCCUUCUGCGAAAUGCGAGCAUCUCAAGCAUCGAUGAGGCAAUGAAUGCAAUCAAUGAAUGAAUCAAUGGAUGAAUCAAUCAAUGAAUCAAUCACU